RNAcentral lists this ribosomal RNA (497 nucleotides) under uncultured bacterium. RNAcentral describes it as "partial 16S ribosomal RNA". It matches the Rfam family "Bacterial small subunit ribosomal RNA", at positions 28 to 507 of the family's 1533-position model. The record is from RNAcentral.
GAUGAACGCUGGCGGCGUGCCUAAUACAUGCCAGUCGAGCGAACAGACGAGGGGCUUGCUCCUCUGACGUUAGCGGCGGACGGGUGAGUAACACGUGGAUAACCUACCUAUAAGACUGGGAUAACUUCGGGAAACCGGAGCUAAUACCGGAUAAUAUAUUGAACCGCAUGGUUCAAUAGUGAAAGACGGUUUUGCUGUCACUUAUAGAUGGAUCCGCGCCGCAUUAGCUAGUUGGUAAGGUAACGGCUUACCAAGGCGACGAUGCGUAGCCGACCUGAGAGGGUGAUCGGCCACACUGGAACUGAGACACGGUCCAGACUCCUACGGGAGGCAGCAGUAGGGAAUCUUCCGCAAUGGGCGAAAGCCUGACGGAGCAACGCCGCGUGAGUGAUGAAGGUCUUCGGAUCGUAAAACUCUGUUAUUAGGGAAGAACAAAUGUGUAAGUAACUAUGCACGUCUUGACGGUACCUAAUCAGAAAGCCACGGCUAACUACGUG